CCUACGGGAGCAGCAGUGGGGAAUUUUGGACAAUGGGCGCAAGCCUGAUCCAGCAAUGCCGCGUGAGUGAAGAAGGCCUUCGGGUUGUAAAGCUCUUUUGUCAGGGAAGAAACGGUUGAGGCUAAUAUCCUCGGCUAAUGACGGUACCUGAAGAAUAAGCACCGGCUAACUACGUGCCAGCAGCCGCGGUAAUACGUAGGGUGCAAGCGUUAAUCGGAAUUACUGGGCGUAAAGCGUGCGCAGGCGGUUUUGUAAGUCUGUCGUGAAAGCCCCGGGCUUAACCCGGGAAUUGCGAUGGAAACUGCAAGGCUUGAAUCUGGCAGAGGGGGGUUAGAAUUCCGACGUGUAGCAGUGAAAUGCGUAGAGAUGUGGAGGAACACCGAUGGCGAAGGCAGCCCCCUGGGUCAAGAUUGACGCUCAUGCACGAAAGCGUGGGGAGCAAACAGGAUUAGAUACCCUGGUAGUCCACGCCCUAAACCGAUGUCUACUAGUUGUCGGGUCUUAAUUGACUUGGUAACGCAGCUAACGCGUGAAGAGACCGCCNGGGAGUACGGUCGCAAGNUAAACUUAAAUGAAUUGACGGNGNGNGAGNGCGACGACGACGACGAGGAGGAGG
RNAcentral lists this ribosomal RNA (616 nucleotides) under uncultured bacterium. RNAcentral describes it as "bacterial SSU rRNA". It matches the Rfam family "Bacterial small subunit ribosomal RNA", at positions 338 to 956 of the family's 1533-position model. The record is from RNAcentral.